UUACUACAUAUAUUAUAUAUAUGCUUUCACGAAAGGGGGUGAGUUAAAUAUAAUCAAUCUUAGAUGUGCUUUGCUACGUAGUAUAGUAGCAUGAUAGUUAUAUUUUGUAGUGAUAGGCCUAACAAGCCUUCUGAUAACUUGUUGUGUGAGAGAUAUAUUAAGUAUUUAAUCAAGCUACAAAAGUUAAGCUUUGUAGUUGUCAUUAAAUGGUGAAAAUUAUUCUUGUUAUAGCCUAGUCGUUAAGUGCUUUUAUGUAAUAAUAUUAAUUAACUUUUAUUGUGUUAAUUAUCAUACAAUGCUGUAUUAUGUGGGUGUAUAAAUAAUGUAGGCAUAAGUAAUAAUAAAAAUACCUUAAAGGAACUCGGCAAAUGUACUGUUCAACUGUUUAUCAAAAACAUAACUGUGUGGUAUAAUAUAUAGCUGUUCUGCUCAAUGGAAUCUAAAUAGCCGCAGUACACUGACUGUGCAAAGGUAGCAUAAUCAGUUGGCUUUUAAUUAGAGUCUGGAAUGAACGAAAGCAUGGGUAGUAACUGUCUUACUAUCGUAGUAUAUUGAAAUUGGUAAGCAAGUGCAAAAACUUGCUUAUAUAAAAAAGACGAGAAGACCCUAGAAACUUUUAUAAGUUAUUUUGUUGGGGCGACAAGACUACAUGUGAACUAGUUUUAUAGUACAUGGCGUUAUUCAGACAGGAUAAGUUACUCUAGGGAUAACAGCAUAAUUUUUACAGUUUGUGACCUCGAUGUUGGACUAGGUAUAUAAUUUUUUAGAAGGAAAUUUGAACGCUCUGUUCGAGCAAAAAAACCUACAUGAUCUGAGUU
Molecule: ribosomal RNA, 818 nt
Filed under: Loxana rerayana
Lineage: Eukaryota; Metazoa; Mollusca; Gastropoda; Stylommatophora; Helicidae
Description: partial large subunit ribosomal RNA
Source: RNAcentral